RNAcentral lists this ribosomal RNA (520 nucleotides) under uncultured archaeon. RNAcentral describes it as "bacterial SSU rRNA". It matches the Rfam family "Archaeal small subunit ribosomal RNA", at positions 97 to 622 of the family's 1478-position model. The record is from RNAcentral.
CACGUGGACAAUCUAACCUAAGGUGGGGGAUAACCCCGGGAAACUGGGGAUAAUACCCCAUAGACUAUGGGUGCUGGAAUGCUCUGUAGUUGAAAGGUCCGCCGCCAUAGGAUGAGUCUGCGGCCGAUUAGGUUGUUGUUGGGGUAACGGCCCAACAAGCCUGUAAUCGGUACGGGUUGUGGGAGCAAGAGCCCGGAGAUGGAUUCUGAGACACGAAUCCAGGCCCUACGGGGCGCAGCAGGCGCGAAAACUUUACAAUGCGGGAAACCGUGAUAAGGGAACUCCGAGUGCCCGUAAAAUCGGGCUGUCCACCAGUGCAAAUAACUGGUGAAGAAAGGGCCGGGCAAGACCGGUGCCAGCCGCCGCGGUAAUACCGGCGGCUCGAGUGGUGGCCACUAUUACUGGGCUUAAAGCGUUCGUAGCUGGUCUGUUAAGUCUCUGGGGAAAUCUACUGGCUUAACCAAUAGGCAUCUCAGGGAUACUGGCAGACUAGGGACCGGGAGAGGUGAGGGGUACUCCA